Molecule: ribosomal RNA, 431 nt
Filed under: uncultured bacterium
Lineage: Bacteria
Description: partial 16S ribosomal RNA
Rfam family: Bacterial small subunit ribosomal RNA
Source: RNAcentral
AACGAACGCUGGCGGCAGGCUUAACACAUGCAAGUCGAACGCCCCGCAAGGGGAGUGGCCGACGGGUGAGUAACGCGUGGGAACAUACCCUUUUCUACGGAAUAGCUCUGGGAAACUGGAAUUAAUACCGUAUACGCCCUACGGGGGAAAGAUUUAUCGGGGAAGGAUUGGCCCGCGUUGGAUUAGCUAGUUGGUGGGGUAAAGGCCUACCAAGGCGACGAUCCAUAGCUGGUCUGAGAGGAUGAUCAGCCACAUUGGGACUGAGACACGGCCCAAACUCCUACGGGAGGCAGCAGUGGGGAAUAUUGGACAAUGGGCGCAAGCCUGAUCCAGCCACGCCGCGUGAGUGAUGAAGGCCUUAGGGUUGUAAAGCUCUUUCACCGAUGAAGAUAAUGACGGUAGUCGGAGAAGAAGCCCCGGCUAACUUCGUG